AGAGUUUGAUCCUGGCUCAGGAUGAACGCUGGCGGCGUGGAUAAGGCAUGCAAGUCGAACGGAACUAUUUUUGAAGGAGUUGCGAUUACAUCAAGACUUCGGAUUUAAUAGUUUAGUGGCGAACGAGUUAGUAACACCUUAGUACAUAACCCAAAGUCUGGCAUAAUCUGCCGAAAGGCAGACUAAUUCCAGAUGGCAUCGUAAGAUUAAAGUCGCAAGACGCUUUGGGAGUGGCUUAGGUCCUAUCAGCUAGUUGGUGAGGUAAUGGCUCACCAAGGCUAUGACGGGUAGGGGGCGUGAGAGCGUGAUCCCCAACGACGAGACUGAGACACGGCUCGUACACCUACGGGUGGCAGCAGUCGAGAAUAUUCCGCAAUGGGCGAAAGCCUGACGGAGCGACGCCGCGUGCAGGAAGAAGGCCUUCGGGUUGUAAACUGCUUUUGCGUGGGAAGAAAUUUGACGGUACCACGAGAAUAAGGGGUUGCUAACUCUGUGCCAGCAGCAGCGGUAAUACAGAGACCCCGAGCGUUAUCCGGAAUUACUGGGCGUAAAGCGCAAGUAGUCGGUUUUUAUAGUCUGAUGUUAAAUCUCAUGGCUCAACUGUGAGACCGCAUCGGAAACGUAAAGACUAGAGCAAAUCAGAGGCAAGCGGAACGUGUGGUGUAGCGGUGAAAUGCGUUGAUAUCACACGGAACACCAAAAGCGAAGGCAGCUUGCUGGGGUUUUGCUGACGAUCAGUUGCGAAAGCGUGGGGAUCAAAAAGGAUUAGAUACCCUGGUAGUCC
This 784-nucleotide ribosomal RNA is filed under the name uncultured bacterium. RNAcentral's name for it is "bacterial SSU rRNA". It matches the Rfam family "Bacterial small subunit ribosomal RNA", at positions 8 to 796 of the family's 1533-position model. The record is from RNAcentral.